GGCGGACGGGUGAGUAACGCGUGGGCAACCUGCCCCAUACAGAGGGAUAGCCACUGGAAACGGUGAUUAAUACCUCAUAAGACCACAGUAUCGCAUGGUACGGGGGUCAAAGAUUUAUCGGUAUGGGAUGGGCCCGCGUCUGAUUAGCUAGUUGGUAAGGUAAUGGCUUACCAAGGCGACGAUCAGUAGCCGACCUGAGAGGGCGGACGGCCACACUGGAACUGAGACACGGUCCAGACUCCUACGGGAGGCAGCAGUGGGGAAUAUUGCACAAUGGGCGCAAGCCUGAUGCAGCAACGCCGCGUGAGUGAUGAAGGCCUUCGGGUCGUAAAGCUCUGUCCUAUGGGAAGAAACAAAUGACGGUACCAUAGGAGGAAGCCCCGGCUAACUACGUGCCAGCAGCCGCGGUAAUACGUA
Molecule: ribosomal RNA, 417 nt
Filed under: uncultured bacterium
Lineage: Bacteria
Description: bacterial SSU rRNA
Rfam family: Bacterial small subunit ribosomal RNA
Source: RNAcentral